This 69-nucleotide transfer RNA is filed under the name Gymnothorax kolpos (blacktail moray). RNAcentral's name for it is "tRNA-Glu". It matches the Rfam family "tRNA". From Rfam's summary of the family: Transfer RNA (tRNA) molecules are approximately 80 nucleotides in length. Their secondary structure includes four short double-helical elements and three loops (D, anti-codon, and T loops). The record is from RNAcentral. Lineage: Eukaryota; Metazoa; Chordata; Actinopteri; Anguilliformes; Muraenidae.
AUUUCUAUAGUUGAAUUACAACGGUGGUUUUUCAUAUCAUUGGUCCUGGUUAAAGCCCGGGUAGAAAUU